GAUAUGAUUGAUUUCUAGGACAUACAUCUAAUAAUCAGAACCCACGACUAAUAACCCUAAGCAUGGGAUAGUAGGUAACACAACAACCUAUCAGAUCGUGGCGCUACAAACUUACAUGGCCUCCAGUAGCCCAUCAAAUCGUGGCCUAGUAGGCCCUUGCGACCUACACGACUCCGGUACAGCAAUCUACGACUCUAACUCUAUAUAAAAAGAUAAAAAAGAGGACCUUAGAUAAAGCCGAGAGAGGUAAUGUUAUAGCCCAAAACCCAUUUCAGCCCAGC
This 281-nucleotide long non-coding RNA is filed under the name Elaeis guineensis (African oil palm). Its description in RNAcentral is "long non-coding RNA (EGUI_LNC065535)". Lineage: Eukaryota; Viridiplantae; Streptophyta; Magnoliopsida; Arecales; Arecaceae. The record is from RNAcentral.